GACCUGAUAGUGGGACCUACUACGAACUGUUGCUAUCGAUAGACUUUAUACACUCUGCAGAGGUAGCACACUGUACCCACACCACAGAACCCAUGGCCUCGUCAUCCCAUUAGGGUGGACCAACGGCAUUCCGACGAAACCAACCUACUGCCAUGACGCUCUCCCGGCCACUCCGACCCAAUCCCCAACGGGCUGGUCCUGGGUGGCCCUGUGUCUACCAAAGACACCCCGACCACCGUCGUGGUCAACUCCCACUCGGGGACACUCCCACUCGGGGACUGGUACCAAAAAUCUCAAAAACGAGCACACAAGGUUAUGUCCGCUUACCUGAUCAGGGUAAGCACGCCCAUAACCUUCCCUAGUGGGAGGCACCGGUGAGAGGUCACGACAAUGGCUCGCAUUAAGGCCUCCCAUAAGGCAAAUGUGGCUGCACUGAAAAAGUUCGGUUUGGCGGCACUAUGACUCGAUCCCAUCGAUGACGGAGGAGGUUUGUUAUUAUUAAGUCAUUUUAUUUCCUUCUCCAUCAUCAUGAACAUAUUUAACAUGAGUGCAACAUGCCGCAUACAAAUGCACGAACAAAAUAUUGAACUCCUCAAGUGCACAACUAUAACAUAAAGGACACGACAAUAGUAUAUCAACGGUGCAUUACAAUCCUCAUAACAGUUUAUAAUGAUGACAUGCAAAUAAAGUAGAGUAGUGGCAUGGCAUUAUUAAUAAUAACAUUCUAAUUAACAUGGCAAAGUUAUCAUGAAACAAAAGCAUGCAAGAUAGGCAUAAAGAAAUAACUGCCGAUGAAAACGAUAUAAAACAACUGCAACUACACACACACUCAAGGUGCAAGAAAAGUCAACAUGCAAGUUCGAGGCUCAUGAUAAGAGGUUGGCUUGCCUGGGGGUCGACAAAUACUCCGGGAAGAAGUGCGAAAUGAUCGCGAAAAGAUUUGCCGGAAACAGUUCCUUCUCGGAGGGGGCUGUGUACGGGCAAGGGCAAAAAGGUCAUUUUCAUUGUGUGAAAAUAUUAUGAAAAUGACAUCAACGGAACGGGCUCGACGAAACGAAGACGUGGGCUUUGGAUUCACCUCAUUUGGAGUUGUGGGUAAAAAGAUAUGACAGUUUAACUAUGAGGGACCAAUCUGUAAAGAAAAUCAUUACAAACGGGGACCUAGCAGAAAAACAGACCGCGUCUUUCUCAGAAAUACGCUUUCCAGAAAGGAAAGCGCAUUCUAACCCGAAGAAGAGGAAGAAUACGCUUUCGGUGAUUGAAAGCGCAUUAUCCAGCAAUACGCUUUCGCGUGGGGAAAACGACUUCGCGCCUGGGGCGCGUCCACUUAUCCAACGUGGCGCUCCUCGUCUCGCCGACAGGUGGGGCCCAGAGGUAGGGUCAACGCGGGCGGGGCCCGCCUGGCCUUCUUCUUCCUCACGCUCGGGGUUGAGCGAGGCAGCGGGAGGGGAUCGCCCCGACGGCGAUCGCCGGCGCGUCCGGCCACCUCUCGCGACGGCCGACCUACCCACGAGCUCAGGAGAACGAGGCGCAUCUCCUGGUGGGCUCGGUUGCCGGCGAGGAGCGCGGGAGAAGAAGCAGCAGGGCACGCGGCGGAGAGGGGCUUCGGGCUCUGGUGGGCAUGGGGUUCUAGUGGGGGAAGCGGAGGGACGACGAGCCAGGAAGGAUCGACGGGGAGUCGCGCGUCCAUCCAUGGGCUCAGACUGGGCAGGGGACGGCCGGAGAGAGAGAAUGGCCGAGGGGGAUCGGCGGCGGCCAUUCGGCCAUGGAGGGGGAUGUGGAGCUCCGAGGCAAGUGGGAAGGCUUUGAGAGGCGUUGUGGCUACGGAAGAGCUCGAGGGCUCUACUUAUAGCCGCGGGAGAGCUCGGGAAGGGGGGCGAGGUGGCACGUGGCGUGCGACGUGUCCAUGCGCCGGUGAGGGCACAGGCGCGGCCAAGGCUCACGGGGAGGCAUGGGAAGGCGACGAGGGGGAUCAAGACGAACGCCCGAGGGUCACGGAGACGAGGAAGGCGUGCGGACGAACGGAGGAAGAAGACAUCGGCGAGGAAGACGACGAUGCACAGGAGCGCACUAUUCCGGUCGUUGGGACGGCUCUCCGGAGAAGAAAACGAAGGGGGCAGCGGUCCAGAGGGAAGACGACGACGAGGGGGGCUACUGGACAUUAAUGGCGAGGCCAGAGGCGGUCGGGGCAGCGAUGCCGACGACCACAGUGGCUAGACCACCGUUUUGGCUGGUUACACGCGUGGUCACCACUGGCAUGGCACGCUCUGGGGUUUUAACUGAUGUAAAUUCAUGUCUACCGCGUAGUCCUUCCAGCGGGGAGUGUUACCAUGGUGAAAGAUCGGGCAGAGACAAAUGGAGAUGAGUGAAACAAGCUCCACAAGUUUGCUGUUACAAACUUGGCAACAUCCUAGAGAUUAAACCAGAGAGGGUAAAUGGUAAACUUUAUGUCCGGGAGGCUUGGGGUAGAAAGGACUACGGUCCUGGGAGUUUUGAGGUAAAAUGGACAACUAUUUACCAUAGUUGCUGUACAACCACCAAAACUGACCCAGAAACUUAAUCAUGGUGAAACACUCACUAGGAGUGAUGGAUUGGGCUAUAACUUGCCAAAGCCUGAUGAUGUGAACAUACCAUGAUGCUGUAAAAAGUUCAUACCAAAUGGACUCACCAAAAUGGUACUUCCUUCACAGCUAUCAUUUCUGUCCAAAAACUUCAGAAAAAUCCUCAGGGCAAUUGGUCAAGUGAAAUGAGCCACAAUCUUGUGGAGAUAGGUUAUAUGAGUAGGAGAAGGCCUGGAAAAAUUAUCAGCCAUAAUGGAGCAAGAUAAAAUACACUUGCUUCACAAACUGAAAAUUUGGACAGAAAACAAGAAUUGCUCCUGUGCUCACAUAGUUCAAUGAAAUGAACUGAAUUUGGGUGGAGGAUAAUGAUUUGAGAUACUUGAGAGGAUGGAAAAGUUUCAUCCCAUUUCGAAACACUAUGAAGGUACUUCCUUAACAAACUUGUGUUCUGGUCAGAAACUUUGAAAAAUUGCACAGGGAGCUAGGGUGAAUGGAUUGAGCUCAUCUUUCGUAUCCAUGGGUUAUUUAACAAUUUUAAACACCCUGCCAAAUUUCAGCUCAAUUGGACUUAGCAAUAAAGCACUUCCUUUGCAAAAUUUUAGAGAAGGCAGAAACUUGCAUUGGAUCAUGUGCCAAAUUUCGAACUGUGGAAUCAUGAUAUUAGGAUGGAACUAGUGAUUAUAUAGCAAGGACAAGCUCCACAAUUUAUGUGGGAAUUUUCUCUGCUAUAAAAAUAGUAGUUCCUUUGUAAGUUGGCAGAAAUGCAAUAUUGGCAUUAAAUAGGAAAAAGCAAUUUUCCUUAUUUAAUUAUGGCCAAUAUACUUGCCAGAGCUUGGAUUAGGCAUAAGAAUCAACUCCACCAAUUCUCAUGAAUUUAGGAGAAUGCUAGAUAUGCCUUUGGAUUUUAUUCCUCAGAAAGGCAAGAAAAGGAAUGAAUCAUAAUUCAAAAAUAUUGCAUUGGACUUAGCAAUAUUUUUGCAUAUCCAAGGUUAAGAAAGAUAGGAUGAUCUCUGGGAUCAAUUGGGAGGAUCAACAGAACAAGGAAAAUGGUGGCUCCUUUGUAAUCACAAGGGCAUAUCCAAAUUCCAAAAAUUUGGAAUUAGGGUUUAAGAGGAAUUGAGCUGAUGCAAAUGAGGUCUUGCCCACUAAAAAAGACAUGAGCAGGAUUUUGAAAGGUUGGAAAUGACAACAUUUUCUCAGGGUCAUCCAGCAAACUCAGGAGAAAAUUUUGAAAAUGAGUGCCAGGAGAGAAUAACAGCACAAAAGUUGAUAACCCAAUUUUGGGGCUGUUACAACUCUUCCCCCCUUAAAAAGAAAUCUCGUCCUCGAGAUUCCUAGGGUUACAGCACAAACGAAAGAAUAACAAUUCCGGAGAAAAACCUCGGGGUUAAUUUUUAACCCUUUGGUUAAAUUCAAACGAGUUGGGGGCACCGAGAAAAAAAUUCGCGGAUUCCUCCACGAAACGUAGGUGUCGAGGUAGAAUCAAGGGUGAAACCUGUAUCGGGGUAGAUGUACUGGAUCGAGUGAAAUAAAAUUGGCAGUGUUUCUCCGGAAAUGAAAUCAGGAAAAAGAAUUAGAGACGAGGAAUUUCCAAGCGGAAAUGCCUCUGCGGGGUUUCUAGAGUUGGAAAUCCGGCACACGGUGUAUGCACAGAUAGAUAGGGAUAUGUGACUUUGCAUUUCCCCGAGUACUGCCCGAAUGUACUCGUGGGUGAACCGGGUAUGCGUGCAGUAUGCAGAAAAAUCUAAACUAGCAAACAGACAGAGGCAAUAAACAUGCAACGGAAAACACACCAGGCAAAAUCAUUCUAUGGUGUUUUAAUGCUAGUGGGUAUAUGUACUCCUGGUAUACAUAUACCUACACCAGCGCGCAUUUUAUUAUAGACUCGAGACGAGUCAGGGUUAAUUUAGUGUAUGUGAUCUACUAAUUAAAAUCUUGUUAGCAACACAAUGUCAACCCUGUCAAACAUUUCUGCUUGACAGAGAGACAAGCAAAAAACAACACAAAAACAAAAGAACAAAAACAUACAUAGAACACAGCAUACGGACUACAACAGUACCAGCAGACAACAGAACACGAACGAGCUACGCGCUAAACGAAGCAACUCAUCUAGGGAUACAUAGUUCUACCCUCAUAUCGAGGAUGAACCGACAGACUGAUCAUCUUACUACUUGACUGAGGUCAUGCAGAGGAUUUGCCUUGCUGGGGCUCUCCGGGAGGACGAAGACUGAGCCAAUCUCCAUCUUCAUCAUCUCACACUACUAUGGGUUGGGGUUCGGCUACUGGGGGUGUGGCUGAAAUUGAUCCGAGCAAAUGCUGCUGGUGGAUCUGUAAAAGAGCCUUGUCGAGGGUGACGAUGUUGGGUCUAGGCCACAACACGGAUUGAGAGGACAGCACUGGUUCGGAUGGCGUUGGACAAAUGACUUGAGAUGCGAAUUUACGAGCCUCACGGUAAGCUUCCUUGACGACUCGCACCGCAUCAUUGUCCAGAGUUCGAAACUCGGCAAGCAUCUGGGAAAUCAUCAUCCCCUGGGCGGUAAUAUAUUGCACCAGGCGAGCGAUUGCGGGGUCAUCUCCUUGGCUAGCGGGAGAAGGCUGCAUUCCUACCUCUGUCACAAUGGGGUAGAAGCAGAAAUCACGCCUUGCUGCCAUAUGCGGGUAUCUGGUUCGGAGGUGAAGCAUAGCCUCCACAGCAGCGGCCUGAAUGGCUAAAUCAGAGGUAGGCAUAGCUCUACCCUGAAAAACCAACGGCUGGCCAUCCGCUGCUAGGCUGAUGCACACUCUUGCAUCGAAGCGAUGAAGGUGAGGGACGGGUGAUGAUUGGAACACCAGGUAAUCGGGGCUAGCCUUACAGCCAAAGGCUUUGGUGAGCAUCUCAGCAAGAAGGGGUGGAAAGCCGGGGUGGUUGACGGCACCGGUGCGGCUGUGAAACUUGGGAGCUUUGAAGGUGCUAGUCAUGGCUGGAGUGCUACUAGCUAGGCUUCUCUGUAGGGACAUGGUUGACUGAGGGGUGAGCGAUACGGCGAGCGGAAAGGGGGCUUUUAUAGGCAGCUAUGCGAGACAUGCCCGCAUGGUGUGGCCCCUUUCCCUUAAUGGCGAAGGGUGAGCGGUGUGGCCGACCCGAAAGGAUAUGGUUGCUAUUCGCGCCACGACUAACUAGGCGGGGACAGCGGGGUGAGGACGUGUCGGUCCCGACUGCGCCACCUGUUGAUUAACAGUGGCCAUGUCGUAUGCAGGGAUGGGUCAAAUCCCUUAGGGCCAUUACCGGUUAAUGGUAGCGGUGAUCUAAUACUAGGAUAACCUAUGCCAGCCUGGCUGCUCUGAUACCAUGCCCUAUGGCACCCCGAUCUGCAUGGAGCAGGGGGCCUUCGCACGUCAGCCCAGGAUAACACCUGACGCACGACAGGUCCAUAAUACAGCAUUCCAGGUACAAAAAUAUUCAUCAAAUACAUGUAUAUGAGAUUACAUCAUUGAUGAAUACAAUUAUCUGGCAUAGCCCUAAGGCUAUUAAAUGAUAGCGAAAGUCUGAUAAAAAUGGCGGCGGAAGUCUUGGUUUGGCAGCAUAACAACUCUGGCCGGGCUCCACAACUCACAGGACUUGCAAGAUUACGGCCUAGCACGACGGAUCAAGCGAGCAAUACGGGUACGACCUACAAAACUGGCAUGACACGCCAGGUCAGUACAUUGAAUGUACUUGCAAGACAACCAAAUACAUAGCAUCCAAACAAGCUGCAGACAAAGCAAGAACCGAGCGCAUGCAACACCCUAUCUCAUAUCAAUUACUAAACAUGGCAUGAUAAAAAUCAACUAAGCAUGAAAAAAAUCAUAACAUCUACUAACAUGGCAAUGACAUGGCACAUCAGAACAUGAUUAUAACAUUGUAAUAGCAAAACAUAGAAUUUUAUCUCAAUCAUGGCAUAACUUAACAUGUCAAUCAAAGCAUAGCAUGGCAUCAAGAAACUAUGCUGAAAAUAAACUACCAAUAAUAUCCAAUGCAGACAUAGAAUGUUAACAUUAUGCCAUCAUCUUCUGUUCUAUCAUGGUUCUUUAAAUGCAAAUAAUGAUAUAUUAUUCUAGCAAUGCAACCAAACUUGUGUACCGAGUCCCUCGGACUCUCUUAUCAAUUGUGAUCAUCUCUGGAUCACAAACACACCACCAAAGUGGUCUUUCUCAAGAACAACUCGGGAUCCUUACGGCGAUCACAACCAUGAUCAACACUUGGUCUCCAACCGUGAUCCUUACGGCGAUCACAACCACGACCAAUAUUUGGCUCGUGAUCCUUACGGCGAUCACAAACACUUAUCUCAUCAUCAAAAUAUCUUCGUGACUCCUCACGACUAUCUCAUAGUUCAAGUUACCAUAUUCUUGUUAUCACAUAUUUAUUUACCAACUUAAUUAUUUCGGUUUGUCCUCCAUUUCGACCAAGACCUGAUAGUGGGACCUACUACGAACUGUUGCUAUCGAUAGACUUUAUACACUCUGCAGAGGUAGCACACUGUACCCACACCACAGAACCCAUGGCCUCGUCAUCCCAUUCGGGUGGACCAACGGCAUUCCGACGAAACCAACCUACUGCCAUGACGCUCUCUCGGCCACUCCGACCCAAUCCCCAACGGGCUGGUCCUGGGUGGCCCUGUGUCUACCAAAGACACCCCGACCACCGUCGUGGUCAACUCCCACUCGGGGACACUCCCACUCGGGGACUGGUACCAAAAAUCUCAAAAACGAGCACACAAGGUU
This 7301-nucleotide long non-coding RNA is filed under the name Triticum aestivum (bread wheat). Its description in RNAcentral is "long non-coding RNA (TAES_LNC024143)". Lineage: Eukaryota; Viridiplantae; Streptophyta; Magnoliopsida; Poales; Poaceae. The record is from RNAcentral.